This 26-nucleotide non-coding RNA is filed under the name Gallus gallus (chicken). Lineage: Eukaryota; Metazoa; Chordata; Aves; Galliformes; Phasianidae. The record is from RNAcentral. RNAcentral also lists the same sequence under 7 other names.
GGUUCAGUGGUAGAAUUCUCGCCUGC